CAGUAGCCGCGGUAAUACGGAGGGUGCAAGCGUUAAUCGGAAUUACUGGGCGUAAAGCGCACGCAGGCGGUCUGUCAAGUCAGAUGUGAAAUCCCCGGGCUUAACCUGGGAACUGCAUUUGUGACUGUAUAGCUAGAGUACGGCAGAGGGGGAUGGAAUUCCGCGUGUAGCAGUGAAAUGCGUAGAUAUGCGGAGGAACACCGAUGGCGAAGGCAAUCCCCUGGGCCUGUACUGACGCUCAUGCACGAAAGCGUGGGGAGCAAACAGGAUUAGAUACCCGGGUAGUCCCUGUCUCUUAUAA
RNAcentral lists this ribosomal RNA (301 nucleotides) under uncultured bacterium. RNAcentral describes it as "partial 16S ribosomal RNA". It matches the Rfam family "Bacterial small subunit ribosomal RNA", at positions 509 to 809 of the family's 1533-position model. The record is from RNAcentral.